RNAcentral lists this transfer RNA (63 nucleotides) under Pycnarmon cribrata. RNAcentral's name for it is "tRNA-Cys". The record is from RNAcentral. Lineage: Eukaryota; Metazoa; Arthropoda; Insecta; Lepidoptera; Crambidae.
AGUCUUAUAUUCAAAUAUGAUAUAAAAUUGCAAAUUUUAAGGUAUAAUUUAUUAUUAAGACUU